UGUAGCAGUUGACAUGGCCAUGGUGUAUCUUCACAGCAUGAAACCCUAAGACAGAUGUGUCUCUGGGAGCUAUAAGGAUGAGAAGGCAAAAAAGCUUAUAUGAGCCAGAGGUGAUGGAAGACUCCAAGGAAAUGGUGUUCUGCAGACAUCAUAGGACUGGUACACCAUAUGAACUCCCAAAGACUGUAGCAGCACACAAAGGGUCUACACAAAUUCAAGGCAGAUGGUGUUCCUGCACUGAGAGGAAAAAGUGAACAUGGGCUCCUACCCCUAAUCAAGAAGCUAUGUGCAAUUGGUACAUUCUUGCAAAUAAAAUAAUUAGUUUUGGCA
This is a non-coding RNA of Peromyscus maniculatus bairdii (prairie deer mouse), 330 nucleotides long. Lineage: Eukaryota; Metazoa; Chordata; Mammalia; Rodentia; Cricetidae. The record is from RefSeq and is a predicted model, not a curated record.